UAGGGAAUCUUCGGCAAUGGACGAAAGUCUGACCGAGCAACGCCGCGUGAGUGAAGAAGGUUUUCGGAUCGUAAAACUCUGUUGUUAGAGAAGAACAAGGACGUUAGUAACUGAACGUCCCCUGACGGUAUCUAACCAGAAAGCCACGGCUAACUACGUGCCAGCAGCCGCGGUAAGACGUAGGUGGCAAGCGUUGUCCGGAUUUAUUGGGCGUAAAGCGAGCGCAGGCGGUUUCUUAAGUCUGAUGUGAAAGCCCCCGGCUCAACCGGGGAGGGUCAUUGGAAACUGGGAGACUUGAGUGCAGAAGAGGAGAGUGGAAUUCCAUGUGUAGCGGUGAAAUGCGUAGAUAUAUGGAGGAACACCAGUGGCGAAGGCGGCGCUCUGGUCUGUAACUGACGCUGAGGCUCGAAAGCGUGGGGAGCAAAAAGG
Molecule: ribosomal RNA, 429 nt
Filed under: Gemmatimonadota bacterium
Lineage: Bacteria; Pseudomonadati; Gemmatimonadota
Description: Gemmatimonadetes bacterium partial 16S ribosomal RNA
Rfam family: Bacterial small subunit ribosomal RNA
Source: RNAcentral